This 542-nucleotide ribosomal RNA is filed under the name uncultured bacterium. RNAcentral describes it as "partial 16S ribosomal RNA". It matches the Rfam family "Bacterial small subunit ribosomal RNA", at positions 355 to 888 of the family's 1533-position model. The record is from RNAcentral.
UAGGGAAUCUUGCCACAAUGGACGCAAGUCUGAUGGAGCAACGCCGCGUGAGUGAAGAAGGUUUUCGGACCGUAAAGCUCUGUUGUUGGUGAAGAAGGAUAGAGGUAGUAACUGGCCUUUAUUUGACGGUAAUCAACCAGAAAGUCACGGCUAACUACGUGCCAGCAGCCGCGGUAAUCGUAGGUGGCAAGCGUUGUCCGGAUUUAUUGGGCGUAAAGCGAGCGCAGGCGGAAGAAUAAGUCUGAUGUGAAAGCCCUCGGCUUAACCGAGGAAUUGCAUCGGAAACUGUUUUCUUGAGUGCAGAAGAGGAGAGUAGAACUCCAUGUGUAGCGGUGGAAUGCGUAGAUAUAUGGAAGAAUACCAGUGGCGAAGGCGGCUCUCUGGUCUGCAACUGACGCUGAGGCUCGAAAGCAUGGGUAGCGAACAGGAUUAGAUACCCUGGUAGUCCAUGCCGUAAACGAUGAGUGCUAAGUGUUGGGAGGCUUCCGCCUCUCAGUGCUGCAGCUAACGCAUUAAGCACUCCGCCUGGGGGAGUACGACCG